Molecule: ribosomal RNA, 2545 nt
Filed under: Nacobbus aberrans
Lineage: Eukaryota; Metazoa; Nematoda; Chromadorea; Rhabditida; Pratylenchidae
Description: partial 28S large subunit ribosomal RNA
Rfam family: Eukaryotic large subunit ribosomal RNA
Source: RNAcentral
UCGACCUGAACUCAAGCGUGAGCACCCGCUGAACUUAAGCAUAUCAGUAAGCGGAGGAAAAGAAACUAACAAGGAUUCCCGUAGUAACGGCGAGUGAACUGGGAUCAAGUCCAGCGCUAAAUCGUUUGCCCUCUGGGUGAACGAGGUGUGGCGUAUAGGCUGUGAGUGUGGGCAGACACGUUCGUUCAAGUUUCCUUUGACCAGGGUUCCAGAGAAGGUGCAAGACCUGUUCAGCGAACGCGUAGUCGGUUCACUUUUGCAUGCUUUGGAGUCGGGUUGUUUGGGAUCGCAGCCCAAAGCAGGUGGUAAACUUCAUCUAAGGCUGAAUAUUACUACGAGACCGAUAGCGAACAAGUACCGUGAGGGAAAGUUGAAAAGCACUUUGAAGAGAGAGUUAAAGAGGACGUGAAACCGAUGAGGUGGAAACGGAUAGAGCCAGCGCAUCUGGCCUGCAUUCAUCUGCUUUGCUGUCGGCAGCUGGUACGCCGCUCUCCAGAUUGGGACGGUGACCAGUUCGCUGGCGGCAAGCAAUGCAUUUGCAGGUGGAGUGCGUCGAGAGUUUCGGAGCAGCUGUGCGAUCUCAGCCUUGAGGCCAUCCCGCAAGGGUUUGGUACCCGGACUGGGGGAACGCUGUUUGUUCUGGAACGCAAAGAUGGUUUACGGCUCACGAGCUCGUGUGGGCGCCGUGCUGGUGCGGGUUACGGUCGCAUGCGACACGUGCCUGUGUCCAGUUCGGUCCUGCGCGAGCUCACUCAUAUAACCGCUCUCGGCGUAAAAGCUGGUCAUCUAUCCGACCCGUCUUGAAACACGGACCAAGGAGUUUAUCGUGUGCGCGAGUCAUUGGGCGUUGAAAACCCAAGGGCGCAAUGAAAGUGAAUGUUUCCGCAAGGAGCUGAUGUGCGAUCCCGGGCACUGCGGUGCCCGGGCGCAGCAUGGCCCCAUCCUGACUGCUUGCAGUGGGGUGGAGGCAGAGCGUACGCGGUGAGACCCGAAAGAUGGUGAACUAUUCCUGAGCAGGACGAAGCCAGAGGAAACUCUGGUGGAAGUCCGAAGCGGUUCUGACGUGCAAAUCGAUCGUCUGACUUGGGUAUAGGGGCGAAAGACUAAUCGAACCAUCUAGUAGCUGGUUCCCUCCGAAGUUUCCCCCAGGAUAGCUGGAGCUCCUCUCGUGAAUACGAGCUCCAAGUGGGCCAUUUUUGGUAAGCAGAACUGGCGAUGUGGGAUGAACCAAACGCGGAGUUAAGGUGCCAAAGUGCCCGCUCAUUAGACCCCAUAAAAGGUGUUGGUUGAUAUAGACAGCAGGACGGUGGCCAUGGAAGUCGGAAUCCGCUAAGGAGUGUGUAACAACUCACCUGCCGAAUCAACUAGCCCUGAAAAUGGAUGGCGCUGGAGCGGGCCACCUAUACUUCGCCGUCAGUUGCUUGUACUCUCUGUGUUUUCUGGAUAGUCUGGCACUGGCGUGUAGGAGGGUCGUAGUGGUUGCGUUGAAGGCUUCGGGCGCGGGCCCAGCUGGAGCUUCCACUAGUGCAGAUCUUGGUGGUAGUAGCAAAUAUUCAAGUGAGAUCCUUGAAGACUGAAGUGGAGAAGGGUUCCACGUGAACAGCAGUUGAAUGUGGGUCAGUCGAUCCUAAGGCACCGGCUAAAGCCGUCACAUACUACGGGGACGACUUGCAGCUCACUUGUGGGUUGUCGGUCCACCCGGUUGCCGAAAGGGAAGUGGGUUAAUAUUCCCACACCAGGCCAGGGAGAUGGCUGUUCGCAAGAGCGGCUGAGCGCGGUGACGCAAAUGAACUCGCAGACGCUGUGUGGAGUUCGGGCCAGAGUUCUCUUUUCUGGUUUAGAGGUCUUGUCCCUGGAAGUGGCUCAGCCUGAGAUAGGGAUGUUGGCCUCGUAAAGUGCCGCGGUUCCUGUGGCAUCCCGUGCGCUCCAUAUGGCCCUUGAAAAUGCGAGGAAAGCGAUGUGAAUUUCCUGCCUGCUCGUACCGAUAUCCGCAGCAGGUCUCCAAGGUGAACAGCCUCUAGUCGAUAGAAUAAUGUAGGUAAGGGAAGUCGGCAAAUUAGAUUCGUAACUUCGGGAAAAGAAUUGGCUCUAAAGGUUGGGCCAGUCGGGCUGUUGCGUGAAACAGGCAGCUGUUGCCCGUGGCUGCGUGUGCCCGCUCGCAAGGGUGGGCGUGCGCGGACUAGCGGUGUGCACUUCGAUUGGCGCUAAACAACCAGUUUAGAACUGGCACGAACUCGGGGAAUCCGACUGUCUAAUUAAAACAGAGGAGACGGAUGGUCCUUGUGGACGUUGACCGUGUCUGAUUUCUGCCCAGUGCUCUGAAUGUUAAGCCAAGGAAACUUGAUUAAGCGCGGGUAAACGGCGGGAGUAACUAUGACUCUCUUAAGGUAGCCAAAUGCCUCGCCAUCUAAUUAGUGGCGCGCACGAAUGGAUUAACGAGAUUCCCACUGUCCCUAUCUACUAUCUAGCGAAACCACAGCCAAGGGAACGGGCUUGGCAAAUUUAGCGGGGAAAGAAGACCCUGUUGAGCUUGACUCUAGUCUGA